CUUUAUGGACGUAAGUGCCGAACCCCUCUGAAUUGGUCAGAAACUGGGGAACGAGCACUCAUUGGUCCGGACAUUAUUCAACAAGCUGAAGAGCAGGUUCGCAUUGUCCGGGAUAAUCUCAAGGCGGCCCAAUCCCGCCAGAAGAGCAACUAUGACCGGAAACACUGGGGUUCAACUUAUCAACCUGGUGAACAAGCUUAUCUGCGUGUCACUCCUUUGAGAGGCACUCAUCGGUUCGGAGUCAAGGGAAAGUUAGCUCCUCGCUACAUUGGUCCCUUCCGUAUUCUCGCCCGUCGUGGACUGGUGGCUUAUCAACUGGAGUUGCCACCUCAGUUCUCUCACAUUCAUGACGUCUUCCAUGUGUCGCAACUUCGUCGAUGCUUCAAGGAUCCGGAACGUGAAGUGGAUCCGGAAUUGAUUGAAAUUCAAGAUGAUCUCACAUACAAGGAGCAUCCAAUCUGCAUUCUUGAAGAAGCUGAACGUCGAACCCGCCAGAAGGUUACUAAGUUCCUCAAGGUGCAAUGGUCGAAUCAUACUAAAGAGGAAGCCACUUGGGAACGCGAAGAUAACCUCCGGGCUGAAUACCCCGAUCUUUUCCCUUCUACCUCUUAA
RNAcentral lists this ribosomal RNA (612 nucleotides) under Triticum aestivum (bread wheat). Its description in RNAcentral is "partial small subunit ribosomal RNA". Lineage: Eukaryota; Viridiplantae; Streptophyta; Magnoliopsida; Poales; Poaceae. The record is from RNAcentral.